This 254-nucleotide ribosomal RNA is filed under the name uncultured bacterium. RNAcentral's name for it is "partial 16S ribosomal RNA". It matches the Rfam family "Bacterial small subunit ribosomal RNA", at positions 524 to 776 of the family's 1533-position model. The record is from RNAcentral.
UACGGGGGGGGCAAGCGUUGUUCGGAAUCACUGGGCGUAAAGGGUGCGUAGGCGGGUCUUUUAAGUCAGGGGUGAAAUCCUGGAGCUCAACUCCAGAACUGCCUUUGAUACUGAGGAUCUUGAGUUCGGGAGAGGUGAGUGGAACUGCGAGUGUAGAGGUGAAAUUCGUAGAUAUUCGCAAGAACACCAGUGGCGAAGGCGGCUCACUGGCCCGAUACUGACGCUGAGGUGCGAAAGCGUGGGGAGCAAACAGG